This is an RNA transcript of Ostrea edulis (European flat oyster), 1121 nucleotides long. RefSeq lists it as uncharacterized. The transcript is spliced from 5 exons. Lineage: Eukaryota; Metazoa; Mollusca; Bivalvia; Ostreida; Ostreidae. The record is from RefSeq and is a predicted model, not a curated record.
GGCUCAUCUACAAAGAAACAUCAAGACUUUCAAAGAAUUUAUAUUUCUCUAAACAUGCUAAAUAUAUGACAAUUUCCUACUCAUUACAUAACUAUCAUGAUAUACACAGCUUGUAUGUUGGACAUACAGGUGUAAAUGACUGACAAAAUUCUCAGAUGACUUAAUGCAUAUAAUGUCUAUACAAUAUACUUAGUCCCUCUUUGAGACCUCAACUAAAUUUUACUAUGACAACAGUGAUUUUUUGAAGAGUUCCCUAUAAUUAAAAUAAGACUCCCAUUCCCUAAAUGAAAAUAUCAUGAUUUUCUAACACUGUUCCAUAAAAUUCCCAAAAGUUGCAUCAUGAUUCAAAAUAACUUGUUUCGAAUGUUGAUUACUUAAUUUGAAUUCAUAUAUACAUAUAUCCAUAUCCUAUAGGAAUUUCAUUGAAAUGAUUACAGUAUACAGGGAAAUAUUCAGCCACGUUUUAUUUUCACCCCUUUUAUUCUUCUUGUCGGUGGGCGAAUCCUGCUUAUUACAACUGUGUCCGAGUAAAUUAAAACAAGAGGCCCAUGGGACACAUCACUCACCUGAGCAGCAGUUCCUAGCAAUAAACAAGCUUGAGCAAAACAAUCAUUACACAAGCAGCAUGGUUCAGAAGAAACCUUUCAAAGUUGGUGGUUGGUGAAGGAGAGUCUGGAAUGGUGGGAUGGAGAAAUGAACUGUGAAGGGACACUGGUCCAGCUGCUGCUGGGAAACCAUUUCCAGACUACAAAGAGGAUGAAAUUGCGAAGUCUGAACCUAAAUACAGGAUGAUUGUUGUCGGAUCAACCAGAGCAGAUGCUGUGAUUACAAAGGCAUUUGGCAUUUCUAGAUCAAUCACGGAGGAAAAAAUGUCAGCACAUCGUUGCCUAGUCAAUGGGAAGAUUAUUCAGAAGAAAGCAAAGCAGAUUGGUGUUGGAGAUUGCAUUGAUAUAGUUCUUGAUAAAACUGACACUCAUUACAAAGUGCAGAGGACUCGUAUUUUGGAUAUUGUGACUGAAAAGACGAAAGCAGGAAGGACAAAGUUGAUAAUAAGAUUGUGGAAGAAAGCUUUUUAUGUAGAGAUAUAAGACUGGAGGAAUAAACGAUAAUUAAAAAUGAUA